GCCCCGGCUAACUACGUGCCAGCAGCCGCGGUAAUACGUAGGGGGCGAGCGUUGUCCGGAAUUACUGGGCGUAAAGGGUUCGCAGGCGGCAUGGCAAGUCCGAUGUAAAAGGCGAAGGCUCAACCUUCGUAAGCAUCGGAAACUGUCAAGCUUGAGUGAAGGAGAGGCAAGUGGAAUUCCUAGUGUAGCGGUGGAAUGCGUAGAUAUUAGGAGGAAUACCGGUGGCGAAGGCGACUUGCUGGACUUCAACUGACGCUGAGGAACGAAAGCGUGGGUAGCAAACAGGAUUAGAUACCCUGGUAGUCCACGCCGUAAACGAUGAGUGCUAGGUGUCGGGGGUCAAACCUCGGUGCCGCCGUUAACACAAUAAGCACUCCGCCUGGGGAGUACGUGCGCA
Molecule: ribosomal RNA, 397 nt
Filed under: uncultured bacterium
Lineage: Bacteria
Description: bacterial SSU rRNA
Rfam family: Bacterial small subunit ribosomal RNA
Source: RNAcentral